Molecule: ribosomal RNA, 406 nt
Filed under: uncultured bacterium
Lineage: Bacteria
Description: partial 16S ribosomal RNA
Rfam family: Bacterial small subunit ribosomal RNA
Source: RNAcentral
AUUGAACGCUGGCGGCAGGCUUAACACAUGCAAGUCGAACGAGUGGCGGACGGGUGAGUAAUGUCUGGGAAACUGCCUGAUGGAGGGGGAUAACUACUGGAAACUGUAGCUAAUACCGCAUACCAUCGGAUGUGCCCAGGUGGGAUUAGCUAGUUGGUGGGGUAAAGGCUCACCAAGCCGACGAUCCCUAGCUGGUCUGAGAGGAUGAACAGCCACACUGGGACAGAGACACGGUCCAGACUCCUACGGGAGGCAGCAGUGGGGAAUAUUGCGCGAUGGGAGCAAGCCUGACGGAGCCAUGCCGCGUGUAUGAAGAAGGCCUUCGGGUUGUAAAGUUCUUUCAGCGGGGAGGCGUUACCCGCAGAAGAAGCACCGGCUAACUCCGUGCCAGCAGCCGCGGUAAUAC